Molecule: non-coding RNA, 546 nt
Organism: Macaca mulatta (Rhesus monkey)
Lineage: Eukaryota; Metazoa; Chordata; Mammalia; Primates; Cercopithecidae
Source: RefSeq, a predicted model, not a curated record
GAAGCAGGCAUCGCCAGCAGGAGCAGCAAGGGCAGCGAGGCCAGCACGUGCAGCAUGGCCGCCGCUAGUGCCAGGGGCCGGAACCUGGUCGCCUGGCGACCGGCAAACGCCCCUCCCCCAAGAACAGGCCUGGCUCUGAGGCAGCAGGUUCCAGCGAGACCCAUGGCCUUUCAUGAGCAGCCUGGCCAGAAACUGGCUGUGAUAACAAAACUGAAAUCAGAUGGACCCAAUAUUCCCGACUGGAGUGUGCACAGAAAGAGCUUGCUGACAUCACAGCCUGAAUUUCCACCAUGUUUCAUAUAACUCCUCCAGAAUUUGCACAGGAGACCCAUGAGGAGGCAUGAAGAGUUAAUUGCACAUGCCUGAGAACUUUCCAGACCUCCUGCUUCCUUCUACCAAUCACCCACCUACUAAUCCCAGUAUCCAUCCCCUAAACCUUUUCUAAUAAAAUUACUGCCUUAAAGCCAGCACAGGGAGACACAUUGAAGCUGGACUCCUGCUUCCUUGCUAGUUGACUUGCAAUAAAAAGCUUUUCUUGGCUGGGCA